This 344-nucleotide unclassified non-coding RNA is filed under the name soil metagenome. RNAcentral describes it as "partial contains 5.8S ribosomal RNA, internal transcribed spacer 2, and large subunit ribosomal RNA". The stretch from base 1 to 120 matches the Rfam family "5.8S ribosomal RNA", at positions 35 to 154 of the family's 154-position model. The record is from RNAcentral.
GAUGAAGAACGUAGCGAAAUGCGAUAAGUAAUGUGAAUUGCAGAAUUCAGUGAAUCAUCGAAUCUUUGAACGCACAUUGCGCCCGCCAGUAUUCUGGCGGGCAUGCCUGUUCGAGCGUCAUUUCAACCCUCAGGGCCCUUUUGGACCUAGCGUUGGGGCUCGGCCGCUACCCUGCGGCCGUCCCCGAAAGAUAGUGGCGGUCUCGCUGUAGCCUCCUCUGCGUAGUAGUUACAUCUCGCACUGGAACGCGGCGCGGCCAUGCCGUUAAACACCCCACUUCUCAAGGUUGACCUCGGAUCAGGUAGGAAUACCCGCUGAACUUAAGCAUAUCAAUAAGCGGAGGA